GACGUAGGGCGCGAGCGUUGUCCGGAUUUAUUGGGCGUAAAGGGCGCGUAGGCGGCUUAACAAGUCACUUGUGAAAUCGUCCGGGCUUAACUCGGAACGGCCAAGUGAAACUGUCAAGCUAGAGUGCGGAAGGGGCAAUCGGAAUUCUUGGUGUAGCGGUGAAAUGCGUAGAUAUCAAGAGGAACACCUGAGGUGAAGACGGGUUGCUGGGCCGACACUGACGCUGAUGCGCGAAAGCCAGGGGAGCAAACGGG
This 254-nucleotide ribosomal RNA is filed under the name uncultured bacterium. RNAcentral's name for it is "partial 16S ribosomal RNA". It matches the Rfam family "Bacterial small subunit ribosomal RNA", at positions 524 to 776 of the family's 1533-position model. The record is from RNAcentral.